UUUAAUUAAAAAAAAGAGAUACAACUCUACUAGUGCAAAAUUAAUUCAAAACUCUCGAGCUCUUUAUUUUCUAAUUACAUCAAUUUUAAGAUAAUUUAUUUUCUAAAUCAAAACAACGCUUCUUUCUUUUAUUUUACAAUCUCAACUUAGUCCAAGGUCCCUGAGGAUACGAUCUUAACUCAUCCUACCUACGUAGUGAGUAGAGUUAUUUUUGGUGCUAUCAACGACUAUGCAUCAAAUUUUGGCGCCAUUGCCGGAGAUCUUGACAUGGUUGAAUUAAAAAAAAAAAUCACUGACAUUUCAUAACACUUAACUAAAAUAACGUAACC
RNAcentral lists this long non-coding RNA (329 nucleotides) under Elaeis guineensis (African oil palm). RNAcentral's name for it is "long non-coding RNA (EGUI_LNC076750)". The record is from RNAcentral. Lineage: Eukaryota; Viridiplantae; Streptophyta; Magnoliopsida; Arecales; Arecaceae.